Molecule: small nuclear RNA, 104 nt
Organism: Cryptomeria japonica (Japanese cedar)
Lineage: Eukaryota; Viridiplantae; Streptophyta; Pinopsida; Cupressales; Cupressaceae
Source: RefSeq, a predicted model, not a curated record
GUCUUUUCAAAGACAUUGAUAAAAUUGGAACGAUACAAAAAAGAUUAACAUGAACCUUACACAAAAAUGACAUGCAUAAACUUUAUGAAUUCAUUUACGUCAUU